Molecule: ribosomal RNA, 173 nt
Filed under: uncultured bacterium
Lineage: Bacteria
Description: partial 16S ribosomal RNA
Rfam family: Bacterial small subunit ribosomal RNA
Source: RNAcentral
UCCUACGGGAGGCAGCAGUGGGGAAUAUUGGGCAAUGGGCGAAAGCCUGACCCAGCAACGCCGCGUGAGGGAAGAAGGGUUUCGGCUCGUAAACCUCUGUCCUAUGGGACGAAGGAAGUGACGGUACCAUAGGAGGAAGCCCCGGCUAACUACGUGCCAGCAGCCGCGGUAAU